This is a long non-coding RNA of Camelus dromedarius (Arabian camel), 468 nucleotides long. RefSeq lists it as uncharacterized. The transcript has 3 exons. The record is from RefSeq and is a predicted model, not a curated record. Lineage: Eukaryota; Metazoa; Chordata; Mammalia; Artiodactyla; Camelidae.
CCUGGAGUUUGCCUGGGAGACAAGAGGAUGGUUUCCUGGCAGAAGAUGAGGAGGAGGAGAAAAAUCACUUGUGCAGCGAAGUGAGAUUCUAGAUGACACACUGAAUGUGCCCUCUGCAUUAGAGACCGGCUAUGGCUUCCCACACCUGCCCCUUCUGGCUCCAGGGAGGAAGAUUCUCCAUCGUCUCCUAUUUAUAAGUGAGAGGUCAAGUGACUCUCCCAAGGCCACUCCACCAUGACAGCUGCUGCUGGGACCUGAGCCUCUGAGUCAAAGCCUAGCAGGUUGCUGUGACACCUGCCGAGAGCCGCCCGUAUCGAACGCCAAGCGAACGUUUUUCAGGCUUGUGAAACUCCAACCCCAGGCGGCUGCUAUAAUAGUUUUAAAGACCUUGAGAGUACUUUGAUGAAGUGAUACUUAUAAUAAACUCCUAUCACACCCGCAAAUCUGUGUGUACCAUCUGCCUUUAUU